GCUACCGGCUUUAACAAUGUAAUUGGCUUUUUUUUUUAAGAUAAGUUAACAAUGUAAUUGUUGAUGAAAAUAACACGUGACCAAAGUCAGAUAACAUUCAUUGAAUUGGGGCAAUCACGCUGUCACUACCGUCAAAAGGCCCCACCUAUUAAUUGAAAAUAAAAAGAAAAAACUUCAAAUACUGUUAUUGUAGUUUCAUUCUUUCUCACUUUAGUAUCCUGUGGUUUAAAGUUUAUCAAAUUAGUACCCUAUAGUUUUGCACUUUCUCACUUUAGUAUCCUAUGGUCUAAAGUGUAUCAAGUUAGUAUCCUGUGGUUUUGCACUUUCUCAUUUUAGUACCCUGUGAUUUCGCACUGUCUCACUUUAGUAUCCCUGUGGUUUAAAAAUCAUAAGUUACUAACUUGAUACAAAAAUAAAACCAAAGGGUACUAUCUUGAUACAAAAAUAAAACCACAGAGUACUAACUUAAUAAACUUUAAACCACAGGGUACUAAAAUGAGAAUGUGCGAAACCACAGGAUAGUAAUUUGAUACACUUUAAACCACAUGGUACUAAAAUAAAAAAGUAUGAAACCACAGGGGUUUUUUGGAGUUUUCCCUAAUAANCAAAAAUAAAACCAAAGGGUACUAUCUUGAUACAAAAAUAAAACCACAGAGUACUAACUUAAUAAACUUUAAACCACAGGGUACUAAAAUGAGAAUGUGCGAAACCACAGGAUAGUAAUUUGAUACACUUUAAACCACAUGGUACUAAAAUAAAAAAGUAUGAAACCACAGGGGUUUUUUGGAGUUUUCCCUAAUAAAAAUAAUAA
This 811-nucleotide long non-coding RNA is filed under the name Ananas comosus (pineapple). Its description in RNAcentral is "long non-coding RNA (ACOM_LNC018039)". Lineage: Eukaryota; Viridiplantae; Streptophyta; Magnoliopsida; Poales; Bromeliaceae. The record is from RNAcentral.